This is a long non-coding RNA of Oncorhynchus keta (chum salmon), 936 nucleotides long. RefSeq lists it as uncharacterized. Lineage: Eukaryota; Metazoa; Chordata; Actinopteri; Salmoniformes; Salmonidae. The transcript is spliced from 3 exons. The record is from RefSeq and is a predicted model, not a curated record.
GGGAGAGAGAGGGAGAAAGAAGGAGAGAGAGGGAGAAAGAAGGAGAGAGAGGGAGAAAGAAGGAAGGAGAGAGGGAGAAAGAAGGAAGGAGAGAGGGAGAAAGAAGGAAGGAGAGAGGGAGAAAGAAGGAAGGAGAGAGGGAGAAAGAAGGAAGGAGAGAGGGAGAAAGAAGGAAGGAGAGAGGGAGAAAGAAGGUAGGAGAGAGGAAGAAAGAAGGUAGGAGAGAGGGAGAAAGAAGGAAGGAGAGAGGGAGAAAGAAGGUAGGAGAGAGGGGGAAAGAAGGUAGGAGAGAGGAAGAAAGAAGGUAGGAGAGAGGAAGAAAGAAGGUAGGAGAGAGGGAGAAAGAAGGUAGGAGAGAGGGAGAAAGAAGGAAGGAGAGAGGGAGAAAGAAGGAAGGAGAGAGGGAGAAAGAAGGAAGGAGAGAGGGAGAAAGAAGGAGAGAGAGGGAGAAAGAAGGAAGGAGAGAGGGAGAAAGAAGGAAGGAGAGAGGGAGAAAGAAGGUAGGAGAGAGGGAGAAAGAAGGUAGGAGAGAGGGAGAAAGAAGGUAGGAGAGAGGGAGAAAGAAGGUAGGAGAGAGGGAGAAAGAAGGUAGGAGAGAGGGAGAAAGAAGGUAGGAGAGAGGGAGAAAGAAGGUAGGAGAGAGGGAGAAAGAAGGUAGGAGAGAGGGAGAAAGAAGGUAGGAGAGAGGGAGAAAGAAGGAAGGAGAGAGGGAGAAAGAAGGAAGAAAGAAGGAAGGAGAAAGAAGGAAGGAGAGAGGGAGAAAGAAGGAAGGAGAGGGAGAAAGAAGGAAGGAGAGGGAGAAAGAAGGAAGGAGUGGGAGAAAGAAGGAAGGAGAGAGGGAGAAAGAAGGUAGGAGAGAGGGAGAAAGAAGGUAGGAGAGAGGGAGAAAGAAGGAGAGAGAGGGAGAAAGAAGGUAGGAGAGAGGGAGAAAGAAGG